RNAcentral lists this long non-coding RNA (214 nucleotides) under Capsella rubella. RNAcentral's name for it is "long non-coding RNA (CRUB_LNC000317)". The record is from RNAcentral. Lineage: Eukaryota; Viridiplantae; Streptophyta; Magnoliopsida; Brassicales; Brassicaceae.
UAGAAUACAAUAAGUUUGAUUGAUUACAAGUGCUAGAGCAUCAUGAAGAUUGUUAAGAAGUUUGGAGAAAGACUUGUUGAAAUUUGGUCCCAAAUGGGCUAAGAACUCUGAAACAUUGCGUUGCACCACUAAAUGGAUAGUUUAGUGUUGUUUGGGGUUAGAAUAGGUUAUAAUACAUUAAAUUUUAUUGAUUACAAGUUCUAGAGAUGCAUGA